This 498-nucleotide ribosomal RNA is filed under the name uncultured bacterium. Its description in RNAcentral is "partial 16S ribosomal RNA". It matches the Rfam family "Bacterial small subunit ribosomal RNA", at positions 28 to 507 of the family's 1533-position model. The record is from RNAcentral.
GACGAACGCUGGCGGCGUGCCUAAUACAUGCAAGUCGAGCGGACGGAUGGGAGCUUGCUCCCAGACCGUCAGCGGCGGACGGGUGAGUAACACGUGGGCAACCUGCCUGUAAGACUGGGAUAACUCCGGGAAACCGGGGCUAAUACCGGAUAACUCUUUCCCUCACCUGAGGGAAAGCUGAAAGAUGGCAUCUCGCUAUCACUUACAGAUGGGCCCGCGGCGCAUUAGCUAGUUGGUGAGGUAACGGCUCACCAAGGCGACGAUGCGUAGCCGACCUGAGAGGGUGAUCGGCCACACUGGGACUGAGACACAGCCCAGACUCCUACGGGAGGCAGCAGUAGGGAAUCUUCCGCAAUGGACGAAAGUCUGACGGAGCAACGCCGCGUGAGUGAUGAAGGUUUUCGGAUCGUAAAACUCUGUUGUCAGGGAAGAACAAGUACCGGAGUAACUGCCGGUACCUUGACGGUACCUGACCAGAAAGCCACGGCUAACUACGUG